Danio rerio (zebrafish) is the source of this 120-nucleotide non-coding RNA. Lineage: Eukaryota; Metazoa; Chordata; Actinopteri; Cypriniformes; Danionidae. The record is from Rfam.
UUUAGCCACAGCCAUAUCACCCUGCAGCCCAAGAACGGUUACCCAGUGAAGCUAAGCAGGGCUGAGCCUGAUCAGUACCUGGAUGGGAGACCACAUGAGACAACUAGAUUGCUGCUGGAU